Small nuclear RNA from Choloepus didactylus (southern two-toed sloth), 107 nucleotides. Lineage: Eukaryota; Metazoa; Chordata; Mammalia; Pilosa; Megalonychidae. The record is from RefSeq and is a predicted model, not a curated record.
GUGCUCACUUCAGCAGCACAUAUACUGAAAUAGGACCAAUAUGGAGAAGAUUAACAUGGCUCCUGUACAAAGAUGACAUGCAAAUUUAUGAAGCAUUUCAUAUUUUU